UUAAACGCUGGCGGCAUGCUUUACACCUGCCAGUCGAACGGCAGCGCGGGCUUCGGCCUGGCGGCGAGUGGCGAACGGGUGAGUAAUGCAUCGGAACGUGCCCAGUAGUGGGGGAUAGCCCGGCGAAAGCCGGAUUAAUACCGCAUACGACCUGAGGGUGAAAGCGGGGGACCGAAAGGCCUCGCGCUAUUGGAGCGGCCGAUGUCGGAUUAGCUAGUUGGUGGGGUAAAGGCUUACCAAGGCGACGAUCCGUAGCUGGUCUGAGAGGACGACCAGCCACACUGGGACUGAGACACGGCCCAGACUCCUACGGGAGGCAGCAGUGGGGAAUUUUGGACAAUGGGGGCAACCCUGAUCCAGCCAUGCCGCGUGCGGGAAGAAGGCCUUCGGGUUGUAAACCGCUUUUGUUCGGGAAGAAAUCCUCUGGGCUAAUACCCCGGGGGGAUGACGGUACCGGAAGAAUAAGCACCGGCUAACUACGUG
This 483-nucleotide ribosomal RNA is filed under the name uncultured bacterium. RNAcentral describes it as "partial 16S ribosomal RNA". It matches the Rfam family "Bacterial small subunit ribosomal RNA", at positions 29 to 507 of the family's 1533-position model. The record is from RNAcentral.